GUGAAGGUAAGUCAUAAAUCUGCUUUUCUUCUUCUGUUUAUCCGGUGUAUCCACCUGUGGAAGGUUUGGUGUUUUUCCUCUGUUGGUAAUGUGACAAGAGACACGAUUUAUAUCAUGGCAGAAUACGUUUAAUAGAUUUUUGUUUGAAUAAAAGGUAUUUAGAUCUGCAGCUGGAUCAACCGUUAGCUUCCCUUGUAGUUUAACGCAGCUAACUUCAUGUGUGCUGUUUAAACUUAAUCAAAAGUUGUUUCGCUUAAUGAGAAAUGGUGUCAGAUGUUUUUAACAUUCUAGUUUUUUCUGUUUGAAGUUAAAUGUGUAGUCGGUUCAGCCCAAAAGCUACUAACGGCUCCAACAGCUAAUGCUAGUGUUGGAUUCAGACAGAAAACCGUCGAUUCUGCUACACUAAAAUAUUAUUUCUUUCUUUCUGUAAAGUGUAGAAACACGCAUAGAUUAAUGAGGAAACCCCCAAAUGAGUAAAAUCAGCUCAUUUUAAGCAGCGACUGUAAGGUUCAUAUUUGACAUUACAUCGCUGCAGUACUUUUAUUUAGAAAAUUACCAGUGCUUUUACAUUAAAACCGUGUGUGAUUUCCUGUCUAGCCCUAUGUUAACUGCGGAAAUCAACGUGUCGCAGAAGUGGCUCUCGGCAAAAUUAUAACCCGAUCCUAUCUUUAGCGGAGCGGUGUGCGGGUUUCGGUACGGGAUCUGCUCGGGUACAGGAUCGGCUCGGAGUCCUUCGACUGCCGAUGACGUCAACGUGGUUGAUUGGCUGAACAUGAAGCUUACGGAAGUGACGUAAUCACGUUAUGAUGAUAUAGUCUUAGCGGUUGUAGUCCUGUAGUCCAAAAAUCAACACGUUUUGGAGAAAAUAUGUUUGAAUUUCUAAAGGAAAUGUAAAAUAUAAGCAAUUGAUAAAUGGUGACCCUCAAAAUCUCUUGAAGUUGAUGAAAUGGGGCAAAAUAAAAUAUAAUAACUUUAUUGAAAGACACCAAGCAACAUUUAGAGUCAAAGAAUGUAUUUAGAUAACAACUAAGGAAAUAUACAGACGAACUCCACAUUAAUACAAACAGAUAUGGCUUCACAUAUAAGAACUGUCCUAUUGUUUGUCAGUCCGAUGUUGGUUUUAUGCAGUUUCACAUUCUUUACAAAACAGAUAAUAUGGUGUUUUAUUAACAAAUUACAAUUAUAAAGAAAACAUUUAGGUGUUAACAAACAAGAAUUUAUUAACAACACUGCUGACGUCUUUCCAAAACGUAUGUGUGAAAGCCGAGUAGAGUUGCAGUCAUGUGAAGUCAUCGGCAGUCGAAGGACCCCGAGCUGAUCCUGUACCGACACUGGCUUCCUCAAUGAUCCAACACAAGAUGAAUGCAGUAGUAUAUCACUGCAGAAUCUAACCUUAACCCAGGCAAAAAAGGGUUUGGGGUAUUUCUUAUGAAGAAAUUACAAUAUCACAUGGUACAAUGUUCCAAAAAGUAGAUUUUUUUAAUGAUCUGAACAUUUACAAAAACUGUUCAAUCAAUGAACCUCUGUCCACAGUCUUGCGUUUUAUGUGAUAUUAGUUAUAGCUCCCCCUUCAGUUCCAGAACGUAAGUGUUGCAUUUUCCAAAUAUGGAAUGAGUCUGACUGGUAGCCCUACAAUGCCUCUUUCUUCGUGCUGCAGCCAGGGCCUUCUCGCUACUUGGGCCAGCUCCUCCAGGAGAAUCCCAAGGUGUCCCCUGGCCAAACGAGUCCCUCCAGCGUAUCCUAGGUCUUCCCUUUGGUCUCCUCCCAGUUCGAGCACAAAUGUUUUAUUGUUAAAAUGUUAUAAUUAAAACAGUUUUUUCUUUGUCUGGCUUUUAUAGAUUAACAGAUAAUGUACAGGUCAAACAGCGCUGAGCAGAUAACAGAAUAUCUAGUGGUAAAAUCCAACAAUAUAAAAUCUUAUGUAACAUGAUAUGUUUUUGUUUUCUUUUUUAGACUGAGAGCUUUGAGCGUGGUUUGGUGCAUCAGCAGAAAGAACGUGAUUCCUUCUUCUGUGCUUACAGAAUAUUUCCUGUGUAUCCUGUGGUGACUGGUUUUAUGUUGUUUGUCGACCUCUACUGAACUAUCAUUUUGGACUCCUCUAUCUUUUGUGCUUCUAUCCUGCUCUGCCUUGCCCCAUCAGAUUCGCUAUAGCUGCUGGUGGGGUUUUGAACCAAACUUUUAUGGAUACAAUGUUUUAUGGAUACAAACUUUUAUGGUGACAAACUUUUAUGGUGACAAAGUUUUAUGGAUACAAAGUUUUAUGGUGGCAAAGUUUUAUGAUUUUGUGGUGACAAAGUUUUAUGGAUACAAACUUUUAUGGCUACAAAAUAUUUUUGGUCUUAUGGUUCUGCGAAACCAGCCCUGCUGUGAGAUUUGACAUUGAUAAGAACUACAUCUAAAGCAAUACGCUUUGGCAUUCACUUUGGAAAUUUGGCUUUGAAUGAAUAAAAACAACCAACACACUGGAAACAUCUAAUUUGAGUAAACUUUAAGAUAUAAUAUUUAAACUACUCUUACACAUAAAGAUAAACUUUUCAUAGACUGAAUAUAAUUGGUUUGUUGAGAUUUGUCUUGCUUGAGAUCAGCUCAAAUUUAUUGAUCUCCAAAAACACAAAAUUGUUUGAAAA
Molecule: non-coding RNA, 2627 nt
Organism: Nothobranchius furzeri (turquoise killifish)
Lineage: Eukaryota; Metazoa; Chordata; Actinopteri; Cyprinodontiformes; Nothobranchiidae
Source: RefSeq, a predicted model, not a curated record